UAAUACGAAGGGGGCUAGCGUUGCUCGGAAUGACUGGGCGUAAAGGGCGCGUAGGCGGAUGGUACAGUCAGAUGUGAAAUUCCUGGGCUUAACCUGGGGGCUGCAUUUGAUACGUGCGAUCUGGAGUGAGGAAGAGGGUCGUGGAAUUCCCAGUGUAGAGGUGAAAUUCGUAGAUAUUGGGAAGAACACCGGUGGCGAAGGCGGCGACCUGGUCCUUGACUGACGCUGAGGCGCGAAAGCGUGGGGAGCAAACAGG
Molecule: ribosomal RNA, 256 nt
Filed under: uncultured archaeon
Lineage: Archaea
Description: partial 16S ribosomal RNA
Rfam family: Bacterial small subunit ribosomal RNA
Source: RNAcentral